This is a long non-coding RNA of Mustela erminea (ermine), 985 nucleotides long. RefSeq lists it as uncharacterized. The record is from RefSeq and is a predicted model, not a curated record. Lineage: Eukaryota; Metazoa; Chordata; Mammalia; Carnivora; Mustelidae. The transcript has 4 exons.
CCUCCCGUCUCUUCUACCCGAACCCCCCCUCCCCCCCCCAGCAGAGAGACCCCAGCAGCAGCAGCAGCUGAUGAUGAAGAGAGAGGCAGUGGCAGAGGGGGGGCACCUUUUAUUUCUAUUUUUAAAGGGACAGGACACUAAUUUUACCCCACUUCAACCUUGAAUUGAGGGGGGUGGGGGGAAGGCGGCUGAGUUCCUUCCCCCACCCUCCAGCCCUGAGACCUGAGAGGGGGAUUGAGCCUGAGAAAGAAGAAGAAGGAGUUUCUUCUUCUUCGAAAACCCCCAUCCACGACUCCUACCCCCUCACCCCUCCACUAGCCUCCCUCCCGAGCCCCCUCCACCCUCCUCCUCUUUGGCCGUGAGAGGAGGAGAGAAAGAGACCAAAAGCCUCUUAGCAACACAGACCCUUUGCUGCUGCUGCUGCUGCUGCUGCUGCUGCUGCUGCUACUGCUGCUGCUGCUUGGCCCUGGCUGGAGACAUCUCACUACACCCAGGAGCAGCCACUUCCCCAGCUCUCCUCCUCCUUCGCCUCCUCCUCCUCCACUCCCCCCCCUUUAUUACCCUUUGUGUCAUCCUCCACAGCUCCAGGGAAGGCACUCAAAAGUGGGGGGCAGGAAAGAUGCUUUUUGAGGAAAUCAGUUUCUGCAUGUGGGAAGUAGAUAUUGAAGGUUAUAUGGUUUACAGACAAGAUCUUUAAAAUAUAGAUACUCAAGGAACCUCCAUAUUGUUUCCCAUAGUGGCUGCAUCAGUUUACAUUCCUACCAACAGUGCAUGUAUUUUCUCCACAUGAUCUCCAGCACCUGUUGCUUGUCUUUUUAAGAAGAGCCAUUCUGACAGGACCAAGGAAAUAAAUACCAGAAGCCAAGAGCACAGAAUAUUUUCUGUCAUCAAUCCACAGAACCUUGAUACUUCUUUAAUUCCAUCACACACAAAGGAAUGACCACCUUGGCAGAUGGCCACAGAGGAUGUCAACAAUUUCUUGGAG